This 70-nucleotide transfer RNA is filed under the name Acaciothrips ebneri. RNAcentral describes it as "tRNA-Gly". Lineage: Eukaryota; Metazoa; Arthropoda; Insecta; Thysanoptera; Phlaeothripidae. The record is from RNAcentral.
GUAUAUUUAGUAUAAAAAUUACUUUUAUUUUCCAAAUAAAUAAUUUCUAAUCAAUAGAAAGUAUACAUUA